CUCAUUUUCACACCUAAGACCUCUGAGAGUAGGAAGUUAAAGAGGAUGAUUGUAGUUGGAGAAGAUAGAAAGAAAGAAGAGGCUUCCCUCCUCCCCCUGCUCCACCCUUCUCUUCUCAAGCUGGAUCCACAGAAGGUGGCCCACGGGUGAGGAAGAAUGGAAGAGCCAGCCCCAAUCCGGCAACACUGUCAAAAAAACCCACUGUCCCCAG
This 211-nucleotide long non-coding RNA is filed under the name Fukomys damarensis (Damara mole-rat). RNAcentral describes it as "lncRNA (ENSFDAG00000022622.1)". Lineage: Eukaryota; Metazoa; Chordata; Mammalia; Rodentia; Bathyergidae. The record is from RNAcentral.